RNAcentral lists this ribosomal RNA (1540 nucleotides) under Klebsiella pneumoniae. Its description in RNAcentral is "bacterial SSU rRNA". It matches the Rfam family "Bacterial small subunit ribosomal RNA". Lineage: Bacteria; Pseudomonadati; Pseudomonadota; Gammaproteobacteria; Enterobacterales; Enterobacteriaceae. The record is from RNAcentral.
AAAUUGAAGAGUUUGAUCAUGGCUCAGAUUGAACGCUGGCGGCAGGCCUAACACAUGCAAGUCGAGCGGUAGCACAGAGAGCUUGCUCUCGGGUGACGAGCGGCGGACGGGUGAGUAAUGUCUGGGAAACUGCCUGAUGGAGGGGGAUAACUACUGGAAACGGUAGCUAAUACCGCAUAAUGUCGCAAGACCAAAGUGGGGGACCUUCGGGCCUCAUGCCAUCAGAUGUGCCCAGAUGGGAUUAGCUAGUAGGUGGGGUAACGGCUCACCUAGGCGACGAUCCCUAGCUGGUCUGAGAGGAUGACCAGCCACACUGGAACUGAGACACGGUCCAGACUCCUACGGGAGGCAGCAGUGGGGAAUAUUGCACAAUGGGCGCAAGCCUGAUGCAGCCAUGCCGCGUGUGUGAAGAAGGCCUUCGGGUUGUAAAGCACUUUCAGCGGGGAGGAAGGCGGUGAGGUUAAUAACCUCAUCGAUUGACGUUACCCGCAGAAGAAGCACCGGCUAACUCCGUGCCAGCAGCCGCGGUAAUACGGAGGGUGCAAGCGUUAAUCGGAAUUACUGGGCGUAAAGCGCACGCAGGCGGUCUGUCAAGUCGGAUGUGAAAUCCCCGGGCUCAACCUGGGAACUGCAUUCGAAACUGGCAGGCUAGAGUCUUGUAGAGGGGGGUAGAAUUCACGGUGUAGCGGUGAAAUGCGUAGAGAUCUGGAGGAAUACCGGUGGCGAAGGCGGCCCCCUGGACAAAGACUGACGCUCAGGUGCGAAAGCGUGGGGAGCAAACAGGAUUAGAUACCCUGGUAGUCCACGCCGUAAACGAUGUCGAUUUGGAGGUUGUGCCCUUGAGGCGUGGCUUCCGGAGCUAACGCGUUAAAUCGACCGCCUGGGGAGUACGGCCGCAAGGUUAAAACUCAAAUGAAUUGACGGGGGCCCGCACAAGCGGUGGAGCAUGUGGUUUAAUUCGAUGCAACGCGAAGAACCUUACCUGGUCUUGACAUCCACAGAACUUUCCAGAGAUGGAUUGGUGCCUUCGGGAACUGUGAGACAGGUGCUGCAUGGCUGUCGUCAGCUCGUGUUGUGAAAUGUUGGGUUAAGUCCCGCAACGAGCGCAACCCUUAUCCUUUGUUGCCAGCGGUUAGGCCGGGAACUCAAAGGAGACUGCCAGUGAUAAACUGGAGGAAGGUGGGGAUGACGUCAAGUCAUCAUGGCCCUUACGACCAGGGCUACACACGUGCUACAAUGGCAUAUACAAAGAGAAGCGACCUCGCGAGAGCAAGCGGACCUCAUAAAGUAUGUCGUAGUCCGGAUUGGAGUCUGCAACUCGACUCCAUGAAGUCGGAAUCGCUAGUAAUCGUAGAUCAGAAUGCUACGGUGAAUACGUUCCCGGGCCUUGUACACACCGCCCGUCACACCAUGGGAGUGGGUUGCAAAAGAAGUAGGUAGCUUAACCUUCGGGAGGGCGCUUACCACUUUGUGAUUCAUGACUGGGGUGAAGUCGUAACAAGGUAACCGUAGGGGAACCUGCGGUUGGAUCACCUCCUUA